GUCAGGUCUGCACUGACCUUCUGCAAAGCGGUCUGCUGGUGUAAGCUGACAACUAAGGUGUGCUGAUUCUAACCUCCUCCUUACCUAGGCAGAGAAAACUUUCACUCAUCCAUGAGAAUGUUCUUUACAUUUUUCUGGGGAUCAGCAAAGUGACAGGUGGCUUGCAAAGCCCAACAUGAUCAUUAUUUUUCUAAAUCAUCAUUGUUCAAGAUCUAGGUUUUUUUUCCCCCUGAUAUUCACAUAGAUUCUUGUUUAGCCAAACCUCCCACGUCCAAAAGCUAAUAAAAGUGUCAGGCAGACUGUUACAAAGAACUAUUGUUAUUUACAAGUCUACAUUUUCUGUGAAAUCAAAACAUAUUAAAGCGAAUUUUCGGUGUUGACAUUGUUAUUCUAAACUCGUGAUAGUCUUGCCAAACCCUCUGGUGAAAAGAAGUUACGGAAAUUAUUCCCUUGUCUUUUCUUGGGAUCACACUUAACACCUUGAUUAACAGGUGUCUUUCAAUCUGUAAAGAUUUUCAGGGAAGGCAUACCUUACUAUGAUAACUAGCUUGUGAGUUCACAGGUAAGAUAUAUUCUAGAUUAAGAAAUUAUUCCAGAUGUUCACCUGUGUUCUCCUGGGGUUGUCAUCUAAGUGCUCACCACCUCUCAGUACCAGCAUGCUUUGGUAGCACAGCAGCUAGACCCCGCCCCAUCAACUUCUCUCUGUUAUUGUUGUCUGUAUCAGUGCUUGCUCUUGGCUAACAUGUUGUUCUUUUCCCCUCAGCUUAAUUAAAAACAUAUAAGAUCUCUAA
Molecule: long non-coding RNA, 791 nt
Filed under: Bos taurus (domestic cattle)
Lineage: Eukaryota; Metazoa; Chordata; Mammalia; Artiodactyla; Bovidae
Description: long non-coding RNA NONBTAT019631
Source: RNAcentral